UUAAUUUCAACACUUGACCAAAUGGACCUAAUAGACGUUUAUAGAACAAUCUACCAAACAACCACAGAAUACCCAUUCUUCUCAUUUGUGCAUGGAACAUUCUCAAAAAUCAACCAUAUAUGCUUAGUCAUAAAGCAAGUCUCAAUAAAAUCAAAUAAAUCAAAAUCAUAUCAAGUAUCUUCUCAGACCAGAGUGGGAUAAAAUUAGAAAUUAAUUCCAAGAAGAACUCUCAAAACUAUGCAAGUACAUGAAACCUAAACAACUUGCUCCUGAACAACUCUUGGGUAAACAAUGAAAUUAAGGCAGAAAUAAAAAAAAAUUCUUUGAAAUGAAUCUAAACAAAGACACAACAUACUAAAACCUCUGGAACACAACAAAAGUAGUGCUAAGAGCAAAGUUUAUAACAUUAAAUGCCUACAUCAAAAAGAUAGAAAGACCUCAAAUUAACAACCUAAUAUCACAAAUCAGGAAA
Molecule: long non-coding RNA, 472 nt
Organism: Sapajus apella (tufted capuchin)
Lineage: Eukaryota; Metazoa; Chordata; Mammalia; Primates; Cebidae
Exons: 3
Source: RefSeq, a predicted model, not a curated record